This is a long non-coding RNA of Oryza brachyantha (malo sina), 463 nucleotides long. RefSeq lists it as uncharacterized. The transcript is spliced from 2 exons. Lineage: Eukaryota; Viridiplantae; Streptophyta; Magnoliopsida; Poales; Poaceae. The record is from RefSeq and is a predicted model, not a curated record.
AGGCCACUUCCACAGAGCGACAAACCAGGAAAGCUUGCACUUAGAUCUCCAUUUGGUUGUAAAGAAUAAUUAAAGAAGAGAGCCACAAAGCAUUCCCUUGGCCAUGGCCUUCCUCGUCGUUGGCUGGUCUCAGAUCAUCAUCCACUCCGCCGUGCGUCGCCGGAGAAGCCAUGGCUGACGGCGGCAGAAGGGCCUGCAGCCUGCAGGGGCGUUGCAUCUGAUCGAAGAGCCUCCGGCGCGUGCAGAGGGCAACCGAGCAUCUUUGGCAGUCUCCCGUAUGUCCUUCCUUUUGAAUCAAAUUAUAGACAGUACGAUCUCCAGAAUUCAUCUGAACUCGUGUACUGUAAAGAUGUGAUCAGUGCUGAUCACCUGUUUAAUCUCUUGUUAUGAUCCUAUUUGUUCCAAUUGUAUGUGCGUCAAGUAUAUGAAGGAUUAUUAAUUGAAGCUAGUAAUUCUAUGUCCA